Small nucleolar RNA from Grammomys surdaster, 144 nucleotides. RefSeq annotates it as small nucleolar RNA SNORA48. NCBI's taxonomy places the organism in Eukaryota, Metazoa, Chordata, Mammalia, Rodentia, Muridae. The transcript has a single exon. The record is from RefSeq and is a predicted model, not a curated record.
ACCCCCUGGCAAUGGGCAAAGAGACACCUUGUUGCUGGUAUGGUUCUUACACCAGUCAAGGACAGAGCAGAGAGCAAUCCUUUGUUCAUCCUAGCUUGAUGCCUGAGUUGGUGUCCACAGCUGUCCUAUGCCUAGGACCCAUAA